CAAGGUUGACCUCGGAUCAGGUAGGAAUACCCGCUGAACUUAAGCAUAUCAAUAAGCGGAGGA
RNAcentral lists this ribosomal RNA (63 nucleotides) under Plectosphaerella cucumerina. RNAcentral describes it as "partial 28S ribosomal RNA". It matches the Rfam family "Eukaryotic large subunit ribosomal RNA", at positions 1 to 57 of the family's 3401-position model. RNAcentral also lists the same sequence under 1 other name. The record is from RNAcentral. Lineage: Eukaryota; Fungi; Ascomycota; Sordariomycetes; Glomerellales; Plectosphaerellaceae.